RNAcentral lists this ribosomal RNA (524 nucleotides) under uncultured bacterium. Its description in RNAcentral is "bacterial SSU rRNA". It matches the Rfam family "Bacterial small subunit ribosomal RNA", at positions 355 to 896 of the family's 1533-position model. The record is from RNAcentral.
UGGGGAAUUUUGCGCAAUGGACGAAAGUCUGACGCAGCAACGCCGCGUGAGUGAAGAAGGCCCUUGGGUCGUAAAGCUCUUUUCUGAGGGAAGAGACCAGACGGUACCUCAGGAAUAAGCACCGGCUAACUACGUGCCAGCAGCCGCGGUAAUACGUAGGGUGCAAGCGUUAAUCGGAAUUACUGGGCGUAAAGCGUGCGCAGGCGGUUGUGUAAGUCAGAUGUGAAAUCCCCGGGCUCAACCUGGGAAUUGCAUUUGAGACUGCACGGCUAGGGUGUGUCAGAGGGGGGUAGAAUUCCACGUGUAGCAGUGAAAUGCGUAGAUAUGUGGAGGAAUACCGAUGGCGAAGGCAGCCCCCUGGGAUAACACUGACGCUCAUGCACGAAAGCGUGGGGAGCAAACAGGAUUAGAUACCCUGGUAGUCCACGCCCUAAACGAUGUCUACUAGUUGUCGGGUCUUAAUUGACUUGGUAACGCAGCUAACGCGUGAAGUAGACCGCCUGGGGAGUACGGUCGCAAGAUUA